RNAcentral lists this long non-coding RNA (225 nucleotides) under Elaeis guineensis (African oil palm). RNAcentral's name for it is "long non-coding RNA (EGUI_LNC003037)". The record is from RNAcentral. Lineage: Eukaryota; Viridiplantae; Streptophyta; Magnoliopsida; Arecales; Arecaceae.
CUUCCCUCUUCUUCUGCUUUGGCCGCGAUACAAUAGCAGCGACGUGAAGUCGGUCUUCUUCGCGUCCGACCUCCUCUACGCCCUCUCCUCCUUCUCCGACGGUCCCGCCUCCCCCAAUCGGUCUUGCCUCCUCCAGAUGGCCGCGGUAGCCGGGCGGAAUUGGCGUGGGGUCCAUGACGGAUGGUGUAGAGGACGGUGGUGGGGCGGGUCCUUGGAUGGUGCACC